AGGGAAGGGAGAAGCUUGUUCGAGAGCUCUGUUUUGGGAGUCGGGAGACCUGGGUUCCAUUUGUAUGUACUUAAGGGAGGAAGUGAACUUCUGAUUGCUUCAGUUCUCCGAUUUCGAGAAGCACAUGCUGUUCCUUGCUUUGCCACUUGACAAAGUUGCGCGGGCGGAAUGACUAUAUAUUCCUGCCCUUCCUCGAGAGAAGCCCCCAGGAGACAAACCAGUGUCGCUUGUGUUCCUCACAGCUUAUCUCUGGUAAGCAGGGCUCUAGUUUUCAAACCUAAAGGUCUUCCAGAUGGACGCAGAGGGGA
Zalophus californianus (California sea lion) is the source of this 308-nucleotide long non-coding RNA. RefSeq lists it as uncharacterized. The transcript is spliced from 3 exons. NCBI's taxonomy places the organism in Eukaryota, Metazoa, Chordata, Mammalia, Carnivora, Otariidae. The record is from RefSeq and is a predicted model, not a curated record.